RNAcentral lists this microRNA precursor (93 nucleotides) under Canis lupus familiaris (dog). Its description in RNAcentral is "mir-8799 microRNA precursor family". It matches the Rfam family "mir-8799 microRNA precursor family". Lineage: Eukaryota; Metazoa; Chordata; Mammalia; Carnivora; Canidae. The record is from Rfam by way of RNAcentral.
CGGGUGAGUGUAGGAUCCUGAGCUGUGUCCCCCGGCGCCCUGGGCUCCGGGGCCUGCGCUGCUGGAAUCGCGUUCCCGGGGCCGCAGCUCCCG